UCAGGACGCGGCGGGCCGCGGGGCCGAAGGUGGGGACCCGCGGGCUCCGGGCUGCUGUCCGCCGUCCGCCGCUCCGCUCCCGUCCGCCCGGCCGCAGGUCCCGGGUCCCCGUUCUCCGACCGCGGAGAGGCCCGCGCGGCGAACUCAGAAACAAAACCCAAGAAAUGCCUCAUUCCACAAACAAAGAACUGAUACUUGGUAUCAUGGUCGGAACUACUGGAAUCAGCUUGCUUCUUUUGUGGUACCACAAGGUUCGUAAAUCAAGGACAACAUUGAAUUUACCUAACUUUCUUUCUCUGGGUAAUAAGUUUGAUUCUGUGACUUUUCAAGAUGAAAUGUGUAAUGGCCAAGGAACAGCUGCAAUCUUUCAAGGAAGGCAGCUUCAGAUAUUGGAGAAGUUAAACGAAUUACUGACAAAUAUGGAAGAACUCAAAGAGGAAAUCAGAGUUCUUAAAGAAACGAUUCCAAAGCUGGAGGAAUAUAUACAAGGUGAACUUGGAGGGAGGAAAACUGUUCAUAAGAUAAGUCCUCAGCACAGAGCUAGAAAAAGAAGGCUUGCCACAGUUCAAAGUUCUGGAACAAGCAAUAGUUCAGAGGAAGCAGAAAGUGAAGGAGGGUAUAUUACAGCUAAUACUGACACAGAAGAACAGAGUUUUCCAGUCCCUAAGGCAUUUAACACACAUAUAGAGGAAUUAAAUUUAGAUGUCCUUCUUCAGAAGGCUGAUAAUUUACGUAUGAAUGAAUGUAGCAAAAUGGAGAGUUUUGAACUACUUUGUGAUCACAAAGAAAAGUUUAGAGAUGAAAUAGAGUUUAUUUGGCGGUUAGUUCGUGCUUACGGAGACAUGUAUGAGCUAUCUACUAACACACAAGAAAAGAAACAUUAUGCUAAUAUCGGAAAGACGUUAGGGGAAAGAGCGAUCACUACAGCACCCACGAAUGGACAUUGUCAUCUGUGGUAUGCGGUUUUGUGUGGCUAUGUAUCUGAGUUUGAGGGCUUACAAAACAAAAUCAACUAUGGACAUCGCUUCAAGGAACAUCUAGAUAAAGCAAUCCAAUUUUUACCUGAAGAACCCUUUUUGUAUUACCUCAAAGGAAGAUACUGUUAUACGGUCUCGAAACUGAGCUGGAUUGAGAAAAAAAUGGCUGCUACUCUGUUUGGAAAAAUACCAUCCUCAACUGUAGAAGAAGCUUUGCAAAAUUUCCUUAAGGUUGAAGAACUACACCCUGGUUUUUCUAAGUCCAAUUACUUGUUCUUGGCCAAGUGUUACAUCGAUCUUGAACAAACAGAUGAUGCUAUGAAGUUUUGUAAUUUGGCAGUGUUGCUUCCUUGUGUUACCAAAGAGGAUAAAGAUGCACAGAAAGAAGUGAAAAAAAUAAGCACUUCCUUGAAGAGGUAAAUAGAAGAACUUACUCUUCAGCAAAUCAGAUGUGGUCUACUAAACUUUAAUCCAAGUUGUGUUUUUUUAUUAUCCUUUUUUCUUCUUUGAGGUAAGGGUAGUAUGCUCAGAUUUGAAGGUAAAACCACAUUUCUGCAGAGUGCAUUCCAAUAGUAGCAUGACAAAACUAAUCAUGUUGUUGGCAGAAAUCAAGUUCCCAUAAUGUCAGUACAAAAUUAUCUUUAAACAUGUAUGAUUUAUAUUUUUCCUAUCAAUUAGCUAUAGUCUUCAGAGUAUUUCUUUAAAUAAAAUAUUUAAAUCAA
Non-coding RNA from Leptonychotes weddellii (Weddell seal), 1699 nucleotides. The record is from RefSeq and is a predicted model, not a curated record. Lineage: Eukaryota; Metazoa; Chordata; Mammalia; Carnivora; Phocidae.